GACGAACCGUCCAAACGUUAUUCGGUAUCACUGGGCCUAAAGCGUGCGUAGGCGGUCUAGUAGGUGAGAUGUGAAAGCCCACGGCUCAACCGUGGAAUUGCGUUUCAAACCACUAGGCUUGAGGAUGGCAGGGGUGAUGGGAACUGAUGGUGGAGCGGUGAAAUGCAUUGAUAUCAUCAGGAACACCGGUGGCGAAGGCGCAUCACUGGGCCAUUUCUGACGCUGAGGCACGAAAGCUAGGGUAGCGAACGGGAGUUAGAUA
Molecule: ribosomal RNA, 262 nt
Filed under: uncultured prokaryote
Description: partial 16S ribosomal RNA
Rfam family: Bacterial small subunit ribosomal RNA
Source: RNAcentral